UAAAAGCCAACUAAGAGAGAGGACGGAGGGAUAUAUUCCACUAAAAGCCAACUAAGAGAGAGGACGGAGGGAUGUAUUCCACUAAAAGCCAACAAAGAGAGAGGACGGAGGGAUAUAUUCCACUAAAAGCCAACAAAGAAGCCGCCUUCCAAAGCGCUCACACAAUGGGAAGGCAUCAACGGCCUGCAGUAGCGCGCCUCCGCCAGCAGAUGUCGCCAAAGAGCGCCGCCGCGUUGGCGGGGAUCAAUCGGCCGCUCGGAGCGGGGAGCAUCAUGGAGGAGGAAGCGGAACGAGGCUGCCUUCAACCAGACGCGACUGAUACAUUUUUUUGUCACCGUCUAACGGCGCCCGCCCGGCGGGGAGCGAGACCCCAGACGACGGCCGAGCACACGGGGGGAUUCCGCGGUCUUCGCCCGUCGCGUCGGUGCCGUCCGUGGGCUCGGCCGCGCCGCGGAUGGCGCUCUUUUUUUGUGACAUUAGUAAUAAUGGCGGAUAUGAAUUAGCCUAGCUCCCAGGAUGUGACCCGACAUAUGUAACCGGACAAAAACUACACACGGGCUUCUUCGCCAGGUAUUUCUCCCACAGCCCGAGUGGAAGCCUCGAUAUAAGCCGCUCUCCCGCCGACCUACUCGGACGUUUUGUGCUCACCCUGGUUCCCCGAAGUUCCCGGAGUGUGCUGGUGGGCAUUGGGCUUGUAGGACAUUCCGAGAGACAUUGUAAAGCAAAGAAAUAAAAAUGACCCGACAUUCAGCGAGGCGUCUUGUCUCCCACUUUUUCUUGUUUACGGCGGCGGCGCCGGCAAACAUGGCCGUCACUGGAUGUUGACACCCCGCCAGCCGAGCAUCCCCAGCCCGCCUAACACACACUUUGUGCGGCCAAAAGUGGCAUCUUUGACACGCUCUUUUCAGCCCACUUGGAGCACAUUUUGGACAAGUUUGGCUGCGCUUCUGCGCCACAUUUUAAGUCACUUUGGACACAUUUUAAGUCACUUUGGACACGUCUUCAGGACAGGGAUAACAAUAUUAAAAACACUUAUAUACUUUUUGUUAAUUGAAUUAAGGAUGUAUGUCCUUUCCUCUUUUCUAUUAUGUAUAUAUGUGUGUAUGAAUAGUUUCGUUCUAUUUUGCUUUUAUUUUGCUGUUUCUACACUUCUGCGACAGCCAAUAGUCUACAUCCCAUGUCUUAUAAAGGUGAGUUAUUUUGGUUUUAUUUUGUCGUCUUUACAAUUUUUUGACAACUAAGACUGCUGAGCCUCCACACUGCAUCAUCAAAAGGUGAGUAGUUUGGGCUUAUUUUGUUGUUUUUCACCUAUUUGACAGCAAAUAACGUUAAGUGAAUGUGGUUUUUGUUUUGUUGUCUUUACACUUUUAUGACGGUCAAAAGUCUACAUCCCAUGUCUUAUAAAGGUGAGUCAUUUUGGUUUUAUUUUGUUGUCUUUACAAUUUUUUGACAAGACUGCUGAGCCUCCACACUGCAUCAUCAAAAGGGGAGUAGUUUGGGCUUAUUUUGUUGUUGUUUUUCACUUAUUUAACAGCAAAUAACGUUAAGUGAAUGUGGUUUUUGUUUUGUUGUCUUUACACUUUUAUGACAGCCAAUAGUCUACAUCCCACGUCUUAUAAAGGUGAGUCAUUUUGGUUUUAUUUUGUUGUCUUUACAAUUUUUUGACAACUAAGACUGCUGAGCCUCCACACUGCAUCAUCAAAAGGUGAGUAGUUUGGGCUUAUUUUGUUGUUGUUUUUCACCUAUUUGACAGCAAAUAACGUUAAGUGAAUGUGGUUUUUGUUUUGUUGUCUUUACACUUUUAUGACAGUCAAUAGUCUACAUCCCAUGUCUUAUAAAGGUGAGUCAUUUUGGUUUUAUUUUGUUGUCUUUACAAUUUUUUGACAACUAAGACUGCUGAGCCUCCACACUGGAUCAUCAAAAGGUGAGUAGUUUGGGCUUAUUUUGUUGUUGUUUUUCACUUAUUUGACAGCAAAUAACGUUAAGUGAAUGUGGUUUUUGUUUUGUUGUCUUUACACUUUUAUGAUAGUCAAUAGUCUACAUCCCAUGUCUUAUAAAGGUGAGUCAUUUUGGUUUUAUUUUGUUGUCUUUACAAUUUUUUGACAACUAACACUGCUGAGCCUCCACACUGCAUCAUCAAAAGGUGAGUAGUUUGGGCUUAUUUUGUUGUUUUUCACCUAUUUGACAGCAAAUAACGUUAAGUGAAUGUGGUUUUUGUUUUGUUGUCUUUACACUUUUAUGACGGUCAAAAGUCUACAUCCCAUGUCUUAUAAAGGUGAGUCAUUUUGGUUUUAUUUUGUUGUCUUUACAAUUUUUUGACAAGACUGCUGAGCCUCCACACUGCAUCAUCAAAAGGUGAGUAGUUUGGGCUUAUUUUGUUGUUGUUUUUCCACUUAUUUGACAGCAAAUAACGUUAAGUAAGUGUGGGGUUUUUUUUGUUGUCUUUACACUUUUAUGACAGCCAAUAGUCUACAUCCCAUGUCUUAUAAAGGUGAGUCAUUUUGGUUUUAUUUUGUUGUCUUUACAAUUUUUUGACAACUAAGACUGCUUAGCCUCCACACUGCAUCAUCAAAAGGGGAGUAGUUUGGGCUUAUUUUGUUGUUGUUUUUCACUUAUUUAACAGCAAAUAACGUUAAGUGAAUGUGGUUUUUGUUUUGUUGUCUUUACACUUUUAUGACAGCCAAUAGUCUACAUCCACGUCUUAUAAAGGUGAGUCAUUUUGGUUUUAUUUUGUUGUCUUUACAAUUUUUUUGACAACUAAGACUGCUGAGCCUCCACACUGCAUCAUCAAAAGGUGAGUAGUUUGGACUUAUUUUGUUGUUGUUUUUCACCUAUUUGACAGCAAAUAACAUUAAGUGAAUGUGGUUUUUGUUUUGUUGUCUUUACACUUUUAUGACAGUCAAUAGUCUACAUCCCAUGUCUUAUAAAGGUGAGUCAUUUUGGUUUUAUUUUGUUGUCUUUACAAUUUUUUGACAACUAAGACUGCUGAGCUUCCACACUGCAUCAUCAAAAGGUGAGUAGUUUGGGCUUAUUUUGUUGUUGUUUUUCACUUAUUUGACAGCAAAUAACGUUAAGUGAAUGUGGUUUUUGUUUUGUUGUCUUUACACUUUUAUGAUAGUCAAUAGUCUACAUCCCAUGUCUUAUAAAGGUGAGUCAUUUUGGUUUUAUUUUGUUGUCUUUACAAUUUUUUGACAACUAACACUGCUGAGCCUCCACACUGCAUCAUCAAAAGGUGAGUAGUUUGGGCUUAUUUUGUUGUUGUUUUUCACUUAUUUGACAGCAAAUAAUGUUAAGUGAAUGUGGUUUUUGUUUUGUUGUCUUUACACUUUUAUGACAGCCAAUAGUCUACAUCCCAUGUCUUAUAAAGGUGAGUCAUUUUGGUUUUAUUUUGUUGUCUUUACAAUUUUUUGACAACUAAGACUGCUGAGCCUCCACACUGCAUCAUCAAAAGGUGAGUAGUUUGGCCUUAUUUUGUUGUUGUUUUUUCACUUAUUUGACACCAAAUAACGUUAAGUGAGCCCAAUUGUAGCUGAGAUAGGCGCCCGCGACCCCAAAAAAGGGAAUACGCGGUAGAAAAUGGAUGGAUGGAGUGUGGUUUUUAUUUUGUUGUCUUUACACUUUUAUGACUGACAAUAACGCAGUCUACAUCCCACGUCUUAUAAAGGAGAGUAUUUUUGGUUUUCUUUUGUUGUCUUUACACUUUUUUGACAACUAAGACUGCUGAGCCUCCACACUGCAUCCUCAAAAGGUGAGUAGUUUGGGCUUAUUUUGUUUUUUCCACUUAUUUGACAGCAAAUAGCGUUACGUGAGUGUGGUUUUAUCUUUAUUUUGUUUUCUUUACACUUUUAUGACAGCCAAUAAUGCUGAGUCUACGUCCCACGUCAUAUAAAGGUGAGUCAUUUUGGUUUUAUUUUGUUGUCUUUACAAUUUUAUGACAACUAACACUGCUGAGCCUCCACACUGCAUCAUCAAAAGGUGAGUAGUUUGGGCUUAUUUUGUGUUUUUUUUCCACUCAUUUGACAGCUAUUAACAUUAGGUUUUCAUUUAAUGUCUUUGAAAGGUGUGUGGUUUUAUUUUGUUGUCUUUACACUUUUAUGACAGCCAAUAACGCUGAGUCCACGUCCCAUGUCCUAUAAAGGAGAGUAUUUUUGGUUUUGUUUUGUUGUCUUUACAAUUUUAUGACUGUUAAGACUGCUGAGCUUCCACACUGCAUCAUCAAAAGGUGAGUAGUUUGGUUGCAUUUUGGGUUUAUUCUGUUAUUUUACACUUAUUUGACAGCAAAUAACUUUACUUGAGUGUGGUUUUAUUUAGUUGUUUUUACACUUUUAUGACAGCCAAUAACACUGAGCCUACAUCCUACGUCUUAUAAAGGUGAGUAAUUUUUGUUUUAUUUUGUUGUCUUUACAAUUUUAUGACAGUUAAGACUGCUGACCCUCCACACUGCAUCAUCAAAUGGUGAGUAGUUUGUUUUCUUUACACUUUUAUGACAGUCAAUAACGCUGAGUUUACAUCCCACGUCUUAUAAAGGUGAGUCAUUUUGGUUUGGUUUUGUUGUCUUAACAAUUUUAUGACAACUAACACCACUGAGCCUCCACACCAAAUGGUGAGUAGUUUGGGCUUAUUUUGUUGUUUUUUCACUUAUUUGACAGCAAAGAACGUUAAGUGAGUGUGUUUUUUAUUUUGUUGUCUUUACACUUUUAUGACAGCCAAUAACGCAGAGUCUAAAUCCCACAUCUUAUAAAGGUGAGUAAUUUUGGUUUUAUUUUGUUGCCUUUACACUUUUAUGCUGAGCCUCCACACUGCGCCAUCAAAAGGUGAGUAGUUUGGUUGUAUUUUGGGUGUAUUUUGUUGUUUUUAUACCUGGACAGCAAAUCUUUAAACAUCUUUGAAAGGUGAGUGGUUAUAUUUUGUUGUCUUUACACUUUUAUGACAGCAAAUAACGCUGAGUCUACAUCCCAUGUCUUGUAAAGAGGAGUCAUUUUUGGUUUUAUUUUGUUGCUUUUACAUAUUUAUGACAGCUAAGACUGCUGAGCUUCCACACUGUCAUCAAAAUGUGAGUAGUUUGGUUGUUUUGGUUUUAUUUUGUUGUUUUUACACUUAUUUGAAAGCAAAUAACGCUAAGUCUACAUCCCACAUCUUAUAAAGGUGAGUAAUUUUGGUUUUAUUUUGUUGCCUUUACACUUUUAUGCUGAGCCUCCACACUGCGCCAUCAAAAGGUGAGUAGUUUGGUUGUAUUUUGGGUUUAUUUUGUUGUUUUUAUACUUAGACAGCAAAUCUUUAAACAUCUUUGAAAGGUGAGUGGUUAUAUUUUGUUGUCUUUACACUUUUAUGACUGCAAAUAACGCUGAGUCCACAUCCCAUGUCUUGUAAAGGGGAGUCAUUUUUGGUUUUAUUUUGUUGCUUUUACAUUUUUAUGACAGCUAAGACUGCUGAGCUUCCACACUGUCAUCAAAAUGCGAGUAGUUUGGUUGUUUUGGUUUUAUUUUGUUGUUUUUACACUUAUUUGAAAGCAAAUAACGCUAAGUCUACAUCCCACAUCUUAUAAAGAUGAGUAAUUUUGGUUUUAUUUUUUUGUCUACACUUUUAUGCUGAGCCUCCACACUGCGCCAUCAAUAGGUGAGUAGUUUGGUUGCAUUUUGGGCUUAUUUUGUUGUUUUUACACUUAUUUGACAGCGAAUAACGUUACAUUUUUAACGUCUUUGAAAGAUGAGUAUGGUUUUAUUUUGUUGUCUUUACACUUUUAUGACAGUUAAGACUGCUGAGCCUCCACACUGCAUCAUCAAAAGGUGAGUAGUUUGGUUGCAUUUUGGGCUUAUUUUGUUGUUUUUACACUUAUUUGACAGCGAAUAACGUUACAUUUUUAACGUCUUUGAAAGAUGAGUAUGGUUUUAUUUUGUUGUCUUUACACUUUUAUGACAGUUAAGACUGCUGAGCCUCCACACUGCAUCAUCAAAAGGUGAGUAGUUUGGUUGCAUUUUGGGUGUAUUUUGUUGUUUUUAUACUUGGACAGCAAAUCUUUAAACAUCUUUGAAAGGUGAGUGGUUAUAUUUUGUUGUCUUUACACUUUUAUGACAGCAAAUAACGCUGAGUCUACAUCUCAUGUCUUGUAAAGAGGAGUCAUUUUUGGUUUUAUUUUGUUGCUUUUACAUAUUUAUGACAGCUAAGACUGCUGAGCUUCCACACUGUCAUCAAAAUGUGAGUAGUUUGGUUGUUUUGGUUUUAUUUUGUUGUUUUUACACUUAUUUGAAAGCAAAUAACGCUAAGUCUACAUCCCACAUCUUAUAAAGGUGAGUAAUUUUGGUUUUAUUUUGUUGCCUUUACACUUUUAUGCUGAGCCUCCACACUGCGCCAUCAAAAGGUGAGUAGUUUGGUUGUAUUUUGGGUUUAUUUUGUUGUUUUUAUACUUAGACAGCAAAUCUUUAAACAUCUUUGAAAGGUGAGUGGUUAUAUUUUGUUGUCUUUACACUUUUAUGACUGCAAAUAACGCUGAGUCCACAUCCCAUGUCUUGUAAAGGGGAGUCAUUUUUGGUUUUAUUUUGUUGCUUUUACAUUUUUAUGACAGCUAAGACUGCUGAGCUUCCACACUGUCAUCAAAAUGCGAGUAGUUUGGUUGUUUUGGUUUUAUUUUGUUGUUUUUACACUUAUUUGAAAGCAAAUAACGCUAAGUCUACAUCCCACAUCUUAUAAAGAUGAGUAAUUUUGGUUUUAUUUUUUUGUCUACACUUUUAUGCUGAGCCUCCACACUGCGCCAUCAAUAGGUGAGUAGUUUGGUUGCAUUUUGGGCUUAUUUUGUUGUUUUUACACUUAUUUGACAGCGAAUAACGUUACAUUUUUAACGUCUUUGAAAGAUGAGUAUGGUUUUAUUUUGUUGUCUUUACACUUUUAUGACAGUUAAGACUGCUGAGCCUCCACACUGCAUCAUCAAAAGGUGAGUAGUUUGGUUGCUUUUUGGGCUUAUUUUGUUGUUUUUACACUUAUUUGACAGCGAAUAACGUUACAUUUUUAACGUCUUUGAAAGAUGAGUAUGGUUUUAUUUUGUUGUCUUUACACUUUUAUGACAGUUAAGACUGCUGAGCCUCCACACUGCAUCAUCAAAAGUUAAGAAAGACUGCUGAGCCUCCACACUGCAUCAUCAAAAGGUGAGUAGUUUGGUUGCAUUUUGGGCUUAUUUUGUUGUUUUUACACUUAUUUGACAGCAAAUAACGUUACAUUUUUAACGUCUUUGAAAGAUGAGUAUGGUUUUAUUUUGUUGUCUUUACACUUUUAUGACAGCCAAGAACGCAAAGUCUACAUCCCACAUCUUAUAAAGGUGAGUAAUUUUGGUUUUAUUUUGUUGCCUUUACACUUUUAUGCUGAGCCUCCACACUGCGCCAUCAAAAGGUGAGUAGUUUGGUUGUAUUUUGGGUUUGUUUUGUUGUUUUUAUACUUAGACAGCAAAUCUUUAAACAUCUUUGAAAGGUGAGUGGUUAUAUUUUUUUGUCUUUACACUUUUAUGACAGCAAAUAACGCUGAGUCUACAUCCCAUGUCUUGUAAAGGGGAGUCAUUUUUGGUUUUAUUUUGUUGCUUUUACAUUUUUAUGACAGCUAAGACUGCUGAGCUUCCACACUGUCAUCAAAAUAUGACUAGUUUGGUUGUUUUGGUUUUAUUUUGUUGUUUUUACACUUAUUUGAAAGCAAAUAACUCUUAAGUCUACAUCCCACAUCUUAUAAAGGUGAGUCAUUUUGGUUUUAUUUUGUUGCCUUUACACUUUUAUGCUGAGCCUCCACACUGCGCCAUCAAAAGGUGAGUAGUUUGGGUGUAUUUUGUUGUUUUUAUACUUAGACAGCAAAUCUUUAAACAUCUUUGAAAGGUGAGUGGUUAUAUUUUGUUGUCUUUACACUUUUAUGACAGCAAAUAACGCUGAGUCCACAUCCCAUGUCUUGUAAAGGGGAGUCAUUUUUGGUUUUAUUUUGUUGCUUUUACAUUUUUAUGACAGCUAAGACUGCUGAGCUUCCACACUGUCAUCAGAAUGCGAGUAGUUUGGUUGUUUUGGUUUUAUUUUGUUGUUUUUACACUUAUUUGAAAGCAAAUAACGCUAAGUCUACAUCCCACAUCUUGUAAAGGUGAGUAAUUUUGGUUUUAUUUUGUUGGCUUUACACUUUUAUGCUGAGCCUCCACACUGCGCCAUCAAUAGGUGAGUAGUUUGGUUUUAUUUUGGGUUUAUUUUGUUGUUUUUAUACUUAGACAGCAAAUCUUCUUUAAACAUCUUUGAAAGGUAAGUGGUUAUAUUUUGUUGUCUUUACACUUUUAUGACAGCAAAUAACGCUGAGUCUACCUCCCACAUCUUAUAAAGGUGAGUAAUUUUGGUUUUAUUUUGUUGCCUUUACACUUUUAUGCUGAGCCUCCACACUGCGCCAUCAAAAGGUGAGUAGUUUGGUUGUAUUUUGUUGUUUUUAUACUUAGACAGCAAAUCUUUAAACAUCUUUGAAAGGUGAGUGGUUAUAUUUUGUUGUCUUUACACUUUUAUGACAGCAAAUAACGCUGAGUCUACAUCCCACAUCUUAUAAAGGUGAGUAAUUUUGGUUUUAUUUUGUUGCCUUUACACUUUUAUGCUGAGCCUCCAAACUGCGCCAUCAAAAGGUGAGUAGCUUGGUGGUAUUUUGUUGUUUUUAUACUUAGACAGCAAAUCUUUAAACAUCUUUGAAAGGUGAGUGGUUAUAUUUUGUUGUCUUUAUACUUUUAUGACAGCAAAUAACGCUGAGUCUACAUCCCACAUCUUAUAAAGGUGAGUAAUUUUGGUUUUAUUUUGUUGCCUUUACACUUUUAUGCUGAGCCUCCAAACUGCGCCAUCAAAAGGUGAGUAUUUUGGGUGUAUUUUGUUGUUUUUAUACUUAGACAGCAAAUCUUUAAACAUCUUUGAAAGGUGAGUGGUUAUAUUUUGUUGUCUUUACACUUUUAUGACAGCAAAUAACGCUGAGUCCACAUCCCAUGUCUUGUAAAGCGGAGUCAUUUUUGGUUUUACUUGGUUGCUUUUACAUUUUUAUGACAACUAAGACUGCUGAGCUUCCACACUGUCAUCAAAAUGUGAGUACUUUGGUUGUUUUGGUUUUAUUUUUACACUUAUUUGAAAGCAAAUAACGCUAAGUCUUCAUUUUACGUCUUUGAACGGUGAGUGUGGUUUUGUUUUGUUGUCUUUACACUUAUUACAUACAGCUAAGAAUGUGAAGUCUACAUCCCAUGUCAUCCGUAAAGUGAGUAAUUUGGUUUUAUUUUGUCGUCAUUACACUUAAUUGACAGUAAAAAAACGUUAUGUCUUCAUUUAUUGUCUUUGAAAUGUUUUUUUUUUGUUGUCCACACUUUUAUGAUAGCAACAAGCGUCAAGUCUACAUCCUAUGUCGUCGUACGGUCAGCAGUUUUGGCUUUGUGUAGUAGUUUUACCUUGCACUUUCAGAUGUGGCGACCAGUUGUAGUUACUGACAGUGGUUUUCUGAAGUGUUCCUGAGCCCAUGUGGUGAUAUCCUUUACACACUGAUGUCCCUUUUUGAUGCAGUACCGCCUGAGUGAUGGUAGGUUGCGUAACAUCAUGGCUUACGUGCAUUGAUUUCUCCAGAUUCUCUGAACCUUUUGAUGAUAUUACGGCGCGGGGAUGGUGGAAUCCCUAAAUUCCUUGCAAUAGCUGCUCGAGAAAUGUUGUCCUUAAAGAAUUUACUGACAAAGUGGCGACCUUCGCCCCGUCCUUGUUUGUGAAUGAGUGAACAUUUCAUGCAAGCUGCUUUUAUACCCAAUCAUGGCGCACACCUGUGGGAGGUUCCAAAUAAGUGUUUGAUGAGCAUCCCUCAACUUUCUCACUCUUUUUUGCCACUUGUGCCAGCUUGUUUGAAGCAUGUUGCAGUUAUCAAAUUCCAAAUGAGCUAAUAUUUGCCAAACAAAUAAAGUUUUCCAGUUCAAACACGAAA
Molecule: long non-coding RNA, 9936 nt
Organism: Nerophis ophidion (straightnose pipefish)
Lineage: Eukaryota; Metazoa; Chordata; Actinopteri; Syngnathiformes; Syngnathidae
Exons: 2
Source: RefSeq, a predicted model, not a curated record